This is a long non-coding RNA of Arachis duranensis, 253 nucleotides long. RefSeq lists it as uncharacterized. The transcript has 2 exons. NCBI's taxonomy places the organism in Eukaryota, Viridiplantae, Streptophyta, Magnoliopsida, Fabales, Fabaceae. The record is from RefSeq and is a predicted model, not a curated record.
CGGUAACGGUAAAUAGGAUCAUGUGGGAGGACACGUCGAUAACGGUUUUAUGAAUUGAAGGAUUUAAGGGGAAGUAUGCACGGUCAAUGACAUUAUCCGCUUAUGUAUAAUGGAGGAAGAAUUUAAAAAUAAAUGAUUUGUAAGGUUGUUAUAAUAUUUAAAAAAAAAAGUAAAAUGUAUUAGUAAUGCUAACAUGUUGAAUUUGAAAAAUGUUGACCUAGCAUUUGUAUUGCAAUCAAUGAUAUCAAGAUUA